This 510-nucleotide ribosomal RNA is filed under the name uncultured bacterium. RNAcentral describes it as "bacterial SSU rRNA". It matches the Rfam family "Bacterial small subunit ribosomal RNA", at positions 25 to 518 of the family's 1533-position model. The record is from RNAcentral.
CAGAUUGAACGCUGGCGGCGUGCUUAACACAUGCAAGUCGAACGCGAAAGGGACUUCGGUCCUGAGUAAAGUGGCGCACGGGUGAGUAACGCGUGGAUAAUCUGCCCUUAUGAUCGGGAUAACAGUUGGAAACGGCUGCUAAUACCGGAUACGCUCAAAAUGAACUUUUUGAGGAAAGAUGGCCUCUGCUUGCAUGCUAUCACGUAAGGAUGAGUCCGCGUCCCAUUAGCUUGUUGGCGGGUAACGGCCCACCAAGGCAACGAUGGGUAGCCGAUUUGAGAGGAUGAUCGGCCACACUGGAACUGAAACACGGUCCAGACUCCUACGGGAGGCAGCAGUGGGGAAUAUUGCGCAAUGGGCGAAAGCCUGACGCAGCGACGCCGCGUGAGGGAUGAAAGGUUUUCGGAUCGUAAACCUCUGUCAGAAGGGAAGAAACUACGUUGUGCUAAUCAGCAGCGUACUGACGGUACCUUCAAAGGAAGCACCGGCUAACUCCGUGCCAGCAGCAGC